AAAAUAGAGUUUAAGUGACUUCACCAGGAUCACACAGCUAGUUCUCCAGCUUUGCAGGAUACAGAAUGAGAAUGCACUUUCAUAGGGGAACAGAAGCAUUGCCAGGAAAAGGAGAUUUCAUCUGCUAAAUUCACCAGAGCCAAGAUCUAUCCUGUGGCUUCCAGAGAGAACACAGUGGAGCAGAGCAAGGAAGAAUAAUGGAACAAGAAUGAGACAUUGUGUUCUUCUACUAACUAGCUGUGUGACCUUGAGUGAUUCACUUCACUUUUCUUGGUCUCAGUCUCCUGCCUAGAGAAUGAACGUUUUGAACAAGAUGAGCUCUGAGGUCUCUUUCAGCUCCAAUUUCUAGGAUUUUUGAUUGAGGCAGCAGGAUAUAAUAAUAAUCAUUUGUACAACUUUUUGAGGUUUACAAAGUGCUCCCCCUGACAACAAGCCCAUGAAUUAAGUCAAACGUGUGUAAUAGAAAGUACACAAAACAUUGAUUAGUCAGUCAGUCAAUAAACAUUUAUCACAUGCUAA
This is a long non-coding RNA of Gracilinanus agilis (Agile Gracile Mouse Opossum), 519 nucleotides long. RefSeq lists it as uncharacterized. The record is from RefSeq and is a predicted model, not a curated record. NCBI's taxonomy places the organism in Eukaryota, Metazoa, Chordata, Mammalia, Didelphimorphia, Didelphidae. The transcript has 2 exons.